RNAcentral lists this ribosomal RNA (505 nucleotides) under uncultured bacterium. RNAcentral describes it as "partial 16S ribosomal RNA". It matches the Rfam family "Bacterial small subunit ribosomal RNA", at positions 28 to 507 of the family's 1533-position model. The record is from RNAcentral.
GACGAACGCUGGCGGCGUACCUAAUACAUGCAAGUAGAACGCACAGUUUAUACCGUAGCUUGCUACACCAUAGACUGUGAGUUGCGAACGGGUGAGUAACGCGUAGGUAACCUGCCUGGUAGCGGGGGAUAACUAUUGGAAACGAUAGCUAAUACCGCAUAAUAUUAAUUAUUGCAUGAUAAUUAAUUGAAAGGUGCAAUUGCACCACUACCAGAUGGACCUGCGUUGUAUUAGCUAGUAGGUGAGGUAACGGCUCACCUAGGCGACGAUACAUAGCCGACCUGAGAGGGAGAUCGGCCACACUGGGACUGAGACACGGCCCAGACUCCUACGGGAGGCAGCAGUAGGGAAUCUUCGGCAAUGGACGAAAGUCUGACCGAGCAACGCCGCGUGAGUGAAGAAGGUUUUCGGAUCGUAAAGCUCUGUUGUAAGAGAAGAACGGGUGUGAGAGUGGAAAGUUCACACUGUGACGGUAUCUUACCAGAAAGGGACGGCUAACUACGUG